CCCCUAGGUGUUCUGGGCCGCACGCGCGCUACACUGAACAGUUCAACAAGUCUUAACCUUGGCCGAUAGGUCUGGGUAAUCUUUGAACGCUGUUCGUGAUUGGGAUAGACCUUUGCAAUUAUGGGUCUUCAACGAGGAAUUCCUAGUAAACGCAAGUCAUCAGCUUGCAUUGAUUACGUCCCUGCCCUUUGUACACACCGCCCGUCGCACCUACCGAUUGAAUGGUCCGGUGAAAUCUCGGGACGGCGGCUCGGUCGCUUGCGUCCGACUGCUGAAACUUGAUUAAACCAUAUCAUUUAGAGGAAGGUGAANUCGUAACA
This 320-nucleotide ribosomal RNA is filed under the name uncultured eukaryote. RNAcentral's name for it is "partial 18S ribosomal RNA". It matches the Rfam family "Eukaryotic small subunit ribosomal RNA", at positions 1470 to 1796 of the family's 1831-position model. The record is from RNAcentral.